This 334-nucleotide long non-coding RNA is filed under the name Mytilus galloprovincialis (Mediterranean mussel). The record is from RNAcentral. Lineage: Eukaryota; Metazoa; Mollusca; Bivalvia; Mytilida; Mytilidae.
GGUUGUUUAAGUUAUUAAAUUAUUAUAAACUAUUUAAUCUAUAAAAAUUGUCAUAAAUUUUAUUCUUACUUAGUUGUUUGUUUAGGGUUUUUAGGGUUUGUUUUCAGUGUCUGGUGUUUUGUUUUUUUCAUUUUUAAUUAUUGUUCAAUGUUGUUAUACAUUAGGGACGACAUCAAAAGUUCAAUGUAGGAUAAAAAUCUUAAUUCACAUAGUUUUUUCACUGACCCCCACCCCCCUCUUAACUUAAUUUGGAAAAAAUUGAUUUACCUAUAUGGAUAUAUGUGAAAUCGAUUUUAAAUUAACAAAACUUGCAGCAAUGUUAACCCCCACCCCC